CAGAUGCAGGGGGCAGGGCUUCAAGCAAAAUCAUUCCCCAGGGCUGCGAGGUGGGGCCCCUGAUUGGCAGUGGCCCAGGUUCUUUGAACCCGUUCACCCAGUGGUGGCUCUGCCCCUGGUUUGGCCCUUAUAAAGGCAGGCAGCUGCUGAAGCCAGCCAAUAAAGGGGAUCAGUCUUUGGUGGAGGACUGGGGCAGGAUGACCACCUGAUAGUGGUGCAUUGUUGCCUUAUUAUUGGUUGUAUCUUGUACAGGUAUGUGUCUUGGGUUGUCCAGAGAUGGGGGGUGAUCCCAGAGAUGGGAUGGCCAUUCCAGUGGUGGUGUGGCAUCAACAAAGACAUGGCAUUGGAAUAAAUUUGUUAAUGCAGCACCUUUCUUGGCACAACAACUCUGCAAAAACUCGAAGCACUGAUGGCUCGUCAGGGUAAUUUGAGAGGACUGGUGGCUUGUUUUACAUUCAGUAGAAACUUCCAGUUGAAAAUGCAUAGUGGAUAAGAGAGGUUCAGAGCAGCUCACAACAUUUUUUUCCUUAGGACCCUCCUCCCCUAAAGGAGAAUAUGAGAGGCCAGAUGACAUCAAUGACAUUGCAAACACAGUGUAUUUUAAAGAAAAUGACACAAAUGGAUUAAAA
Long non-coding RNA from Hemicordylus capensis (graceful crag lizard), 629 nucleotides. RefSeq lists it as uncharacterized. The transcript is spliced from 3 exons. Lineage: Eukaryota; Metazoa; Chordata; Lepidosauria; Squamata; Cordylidae. The record is from RefSeq and is a predicted model, not a curated record.